AGUGAACGCUGGCGGUAGGCCUAACACAUGCAAGUCGAACGGCAGCACAGUAAUUUCUUGCUCUUACGGUUGGCGAGUGGCGUACGUGUUAGUAAUACAUCGUAAUCUUCUUUUUCUUUUGUGUUUACGUAGGUAAACUUACUCUAUUACCUCAUACUUCCUACGUGUUAAAUCAGUUGAUCUUCUGACCUUUCUCGUUUUUAUUAGCCGAUGUCGGAUUAGCUAGUUGGCUGGGUAAAGGCCCACCAAGGCGACGAUCCGUAGCUGGUCUGAGAGGAUGAUCAGAGACACUGGAAGUGAGACACGGACAAGACGACUACGGGAGGCAGCAGUGGGGAAUAUUGGACAAUGGGCGAAAGCAUGAUACAGCAAGACCGCGUGGGUGAAGAAGGAAUGCGGGUUGUAAAGACCUUUUGUGGGGAAAGAAAAGCAGCAGGUGAAUACACAGCUGUUCUGACGGUAACAAAAGAAUAAGCACCGGCUAACUUCGUG
Molecule: ribosomal RNA, 492 nt
Filed under: uncultured bacterium
Lineage: Bacteria
Description: partial 16S ribosomal RNA
Rfam family: Bacterial small subunit ribosomal RNA
Source: RNAcentral